AGAGUUUGAUCCUGGCUCAGGAUGAACGCUGGCGGUCUGCUUAACACAUGCAAGUCGAACGGAGUAGAAAUACUUAGUGGCGGACGGGUGAGUAACGCGUGAGAAUCUGCCUUCAGGACGGAGACAACAGUUGGAAACGACUGCUAAGCCCCGAUGAACCGAAAGGGAAAAUAUUUAUAGCCUGAAGAUGAGCUCGCGUCCGAUUAGCUAGUUGGCGGAGUAAAAGCCCACCAAGGCGACGAUCGGUAGCUGGUCUGAGAGGACGAUCAGCCACACUGGGACUGAGACACGGCCCAGACUCCUACGGGAGGCAGCAGUGGGGAAUUUUCCGCAAUGGGCGAAAGCCUGACGGAGCAAGACCGCGUGGGGGAAGAAGGCUCUUGGGUUGUAAACCCCUUUUCUCUGGGAAGAAAGUUGUGAAAGCAACCUGACGGUACCAGAGGAAUCAGCAUCGGCUAACUCCGUGCCAGCAGCCGCGGUAAUACGGAGGAUGCAAGCGUUAUCCGGAUUUAUUGGGCGUAAAGCGUCCGCAGGUGGUUUUACAAGUCUGCUGUUAAAGCGCGAGGCUUAACCUCGUACAGGCAGUGGAAACUGUGAGACUAGGGUAUGGUAGGGGUAGCGGGAAUUCCCAGUGUAGCGGUGAAAUGCGUAGAUAUUGGGAAGAACACCAGCGGCGAAAGCGCGCUACUGGGCCAUUACUGACACUCAUGGACGAAAGCUAGGGGAGCGAAAGGGAUUAGAUACCCCCGUAGUCC
Molecule: ribosomal RNA, 755 nt
Filed under: uncultured cyanobacterium
Lineage: Bacteria; Bacillati; Cyanobacteriota
Description: bacterial SSU rRNA
Rfam family: Bacterial small subunit ribosomal RNA
Source: RNAcentral